Molecule: ribosomal RNA, 408 nt
Filed under: uncultured bacterium
Lineage: Bacteria
Description: bacterial SSU rRNA
Rfam family: Bacterial small subunit ribosomal RNA
Source: RNAcentral
UGGUCUUGACAUAGAAAGAACUUUCCAGAGAUGGAUUGGUGCCUGCUUGCAGGAGCUUUCAUACAGGUGCUGCACGGCUGUCGUCAGCUCGUGUCGUGAGAUGUUGGGUUAAGUCCCGCAACGAGCGCAACCCUCGUCGUUAGUUGCUAACAGUUCGGCUGAGGACUCUAGACAGACUGCCUGGGUAACCAGGAGGAAGGUGAGGACGACGUCAAGUCAUCAUGGCCCUUACGGCCAGGGCUACACACGUGCUACAAUGGGGUAUACAGAGAGCCGCAAUACCGCGAGGUGGAGCAAAUCUUCAAAAUAUCUCCCAGUUCGGAUAGCAGUCUGCAACUCGACUGCUUGAAGUUGGAAUCGCUAGUAAUCGUGAAUCAGCAAUGUCACGGUGAAUACGUUCCCGGGUCU